RNAcentral lists this ribosomal RNA (253 nucleotides) under uncultured bacterium. RNAcentral describes it as "partial 16S ribosomal RNA". It matches the Rfam family "Bacterial small subunit ribosomal RNA", at positions 524 to 776 of the family's 1533-position model. The record is from RNAcentral.
UACAGAGGGUGCGAGCGUUAAUCGGAAUUACUGGGCGUAAAGCGUGCGUAGACGGUUAUCUAAGUCGGGUGUGAAAGCCCCGGGCUCAACCUGGGAAUUGCAUUCGAGACUGAAUAGCUAGGGUGCGGUAGAGGGAAGCGGAAUUUCCGGUGUAGCGGUGAAAUGCGUAGAUAUCUGAAGGAACAUCAGUGGCGAAAGCGACUUCCUGGACCAAUACUGACGCUCAUGUGCGAAAGCGUGGGGAGCAAACAGG